UGAUACAUAUUUGCAUAUUUCUGCAUGGUGAAAGUUGUUUUUUUUAAUUAUUUUUGCAGCCUAGCAGCCUGGAUGUAGUCGUCCUGUCAGAAGUAUGAAAUUUACAGCAGAAGAAUUAAUUUAACACCAAAAAAGCUCUCCCUCAUCUGAACUGUCAUUCAAAAUGCACAAUGAAAAUCACCAAGGAGGAGUUUUCUACCCCACUGUCUACAGGACUCCUGGAAGAAUCUUCUGAAACUUGCGUUCGUAGGUAGGAUAUUGCCAGCCUGGUCAUUUCCCUUCUUGCA
Molecule: long non-coding RNA, 287 nt
Filed under: Manacus vitellinus (golden-collared manakin)
Lineage: Eukaryota; Metazoa; Chordata; Aves; Passeriformes; Pipridae
Description: lncRNA (ENSMVIG00005009151.1)
Source: RNAcentral